AGAUCAUAGGAUACAAAACUUAAAUUUGAUCAAUAAAUUUCUAUUUGUUAGAUACAAUCUAAAGUGAUUAAUAAAUUUCUAUUUAUUGCAGGCUUAGGAGAAUCAAUAUGCCAGAAAUGAUUCAAUUUGAUUAUUUAAUGAUUCUCUUCAUUUUCUUAAUUUUUGUUGUAACUAACAUUAUGGCAUGGAGGCCGGACUGCAAGGAGAAUAAUGACUGUCCAACAUUUUAUUGUGCAACUUGGAUAAAUACAUGCAUCAAAUUUAAAUGUUAUUGUAUUCGUCCAUGGGGUUGAUAUUGUAACUUUAAAGAAAGUUAAAAGCUCAGCUGAUAUAAUGAUUAUAUGGUCAUUGAUGUGAUCAUCUUUAGAGGUAAAUAAAGUCAUGGUUAUUUAAAACUAGAGUCGGCACUCACGUGUCAGUCCCUCUGUUUUUUCUACUGCGCUUAUGUAUAUGCUUGAAUAUAUAUCAUGCCAUACACAAAUAUAAUAUUAUUUUUUUUUGGUCAAGACAAAUAUAAUUUAUUUAACA
Long non-coding RNA from Medicago truncatula (barrel medic), 528 nucleotides. RefSeq lists it as uncharacterized. Lineage: Eukaryota; Viridiplantae; Streptophyta; Magnoliopsida; Fabales; Fabaceae. The transcript has 2 exons. The record is from RefSeq and is a predicted model, not a curated record.